AAAAAAAAAAAAAAAAAAAGAAAAAAAAAAAAAAAAAAAAAAAAAAAAAAAAAAAAAAAAAAAAAAAAAAAAAAAAAAAAAAAAAAAAAAAAAAAAAAAAAAAAAACACAAAAAACAAAAAAAAAAAAAAAAAGAAAAAAAAAAAAAAAAAAAAAAGAAAAUAAAAAAAAAAAAAAAAAAAAAAAAAAAAAAAAACAAAAAAAAAAAAAAAAAAAACAAAAAAAAAAA
Molecule: long non-coding RNA, 228 nt
Filed under: Lathyrus oleraceus (garden pea)
Lineage: Eukaryota; Viridiplantae; Streptophyta; Magnoliopsida; Fabales; Fabaceae
Description: Pisum sativum (pea) long non-coding RNA (PSAT_LNC042242)
Source: RNAcentral